This 6254-nucleotide long non-coding RNA is filed under the name Sus scrofa (pig). RNAcentral's name for it is "lncRNA (ENSSSCG00035071181.1, ENSSSCG00065023075.1)". The record is from RNAcentral. Lineage: Eukaryota; Metazoa; Chordata; Mammalia; Artiodactyla; Suidae.
GCUGCACCUGUGGCAUACGGAAGUUCCCAGGCUAGGGGUCAAGUCAGAGCAGCAGCUGCUGGCCUAUACCACAGUCAGAGCAACUCGGGAUCCAAGUUGAGUCUGCAACCUACACCACAGCUCAUGGCAACACUGGAUCCUUAACCCACUGAGCAAGGGCUGGGAUCAAUCCCGAGUCCUCAUAGAUACUAGUUGGGUUUGUUACUGCUGAGCCAUGAUGGGAACUCUCCAAAAACUUCUGAUACAUCUGAUUUGGUAUCUUGGAAAGGAAAGAAAAGUAGAAAAAAAUAUUCCAAUAUGGACACUAAAUGAUACCCACUACCAGCUGAUUAAUUUUUUAUCCUAAGGCCCUAUGGUCCCCUGGGGGCAAGUUCAUGUAUAUCAUAUCCCAUCCCUGAGCCCAGUACACAGUUAUGCUCACUAAAUCUCAUUUGAUUGAAUGAAUAAAUACAUUUCUCCCCAUUAAAUAUGGAGAUUGUCGAAUUGUUAUUGCUGUGAUUUACCCACUUCCAUUUAGGGCAUGGGUUAUAUCCCCACAAUGCUAAAACAUCCAAGAGAAAACAAUAAAAAUCAGCAAAGAACAUGACUAUUUUAGUUGAGAAGCAAAAAAAAAAGGUCUAGAACCUGUACUGCUCAAAACAGUGCCUAGUAGCAAUGUGGCAAUUUUAUAUUUAAAUUCAGUAACAUUUAAAAAUCAGUUGCUCAAUUGCCCUAGCCAAUAUCAAGCAUUAAAUAACUGUAUAAGGCUAGUGGCUAUAGCAUCAGACAGAAAAUUAAAAGUUCUGUUGAAUUGAAAGUUCUAGAUGAUUGCCUAAAAUUCUUCCAUUUCAUCAUGAUAUUCUAUGCUUUUAGAAAUAUAUCAGGAGUUCAAGAUCUUUUUGAAGUAUGUGGUAGAGUCCCUUAAGGGAAGUGACUUGAGGAAUAAAGUUUUCCUGUAACUUGGGCUUAUGAAAAUUUCUCCAAGACUGAGGGGAGAGCUUGUGAAAACACACUGAAGCCUAUCUAGUAUUAUUCCCUGUGGACAGAAUUUUCUUAUUCAUUUUUAUACUUCUAGCAGGUAAGAAAUUUUACCUAGUAAAAGCUGAAGAAUGUUAAAUAUGUAUGUAUCCUGAUAAAUGACACAUUCUCAUUCAAACAUUUCACAUACUUCCCAUAUAUGACACAUUUAUUUCAGUUAUCGGAAGGGUAGUGGAUUCUGCUGCCUAGAGAAUAAAGAAAGGGUUGGCCUAUCAGCAGCUUUAUCUUGUUAUGAGGUCUGUCUUCCUUCUUCUUUCCCCCUCCUAUGCAGUCUAUUUCUCCUGUCUAUAGUACUAGGUCCCCAAAUAUAGCAGUAGGUCUGAUCCAGUGAUGAUACCAUCACAGAGUUUAUGCUGACUGACCACAUACCCUAGACUGGCAACAUUACCUACAGUCAGAAACGUUUGCAACCAUAUGAUGAACUCCUAAUACCCAAUGUGAUGAUAUUAGUAGGUGGGGCCUUUGGGAGAUACUUGAGUCAUGAGAAUGGAGCCCUCACGAAUGGAAUGAGUGUCUUAUAAAGAAGCUCCAGAGAGAUCCCUGGCGUAUUCAACCAUGUGAGGAUACAGCUAGAAGACAACCAUAUAUUAACCAGGAAGCGAUCCCCUACUUGACCAUGCUGCACCUUGUUCUUAGACUCUCUGACUCCAGGAAUGUGACAAUUAUUGUUGAUUAUAAGCUCCUCAGUCUGUGGUAUUUUGUCACAGCAGCCCAAAUGAACUAAGACACUGUCCACUCUGGUAACCUUCUGAGAGUGCAAGGAAGUGGUAUUAAUAGUUCCAUUGAGACAUGAGGCAUGACCCAAGGUGGGCCAACUGGUUUGUUCUUAUCUUUCAGUAGUUCUAUGCUAUUGUAGAUGCGUAGAAUGUUCCUCCCAAAGUCACAGGUUGAAACCCAAUCCCCAAAGUGUUAGUAUUUGGAAGUGGAGCCUUUUGAAGGUGAUUAACACAUGAGGGCAGAGCUCUCACAAAUGGGAUUAGUGCUCUUAAUCUUAUGAGAGAUCUUAGAGAGCACCUUUGUCCCCCUGCCAUGUAAGAAGACAGCCAUCUAUAUACCAGCAAGUAGGCUCUCACCAGACACCACAUCUGCCAGUGCCUUAAUCUUGGAGUCCCCAGUCUCCAGAACAGUAAGAAAUAAAUUUCUAAUGUUUAAAAGCCUCUUAGUCUGUGGUAUUCUAUCCUAGCAACCUGAACAAACUAGGAGAUGUCAACUUUUCCUGGAUUUCUAGACCAUGCUUUCAAUAAGAUUCAAACAUCCUCAGAAACAUAUUCCUUCACAUAUAGCCAGAUUUGUGAACAGUCAUCAUGCUCACUGAGCUCAUAUAAUUUAUACUAAUUGAUUAACAUAAUCCAUGUUUUACAAUUGUUUUGGCAACAAUUAAUUACAAAGUUUCUAUAAUAAAGGUCAAUAUAACAGCACUAAAGGAGGAUUUCUCCACUGUCCUUCAAGCUGCCUGAUAUUCUGAGAUAAAGCCUUUGGUCAGGACUUUGUUAAAAUGACAAGUAACAGCUUAGGAUGAGGCCAUUUGAAAAUUCCCAUGAGGAAGUUCCCAUCGUAGCUCAGUGGUUAACAAACCCAACUAGUAUCCACGAGGACAAGGGUUCAAUCCCUGGCCUCGCUCAGUGAGUCAGGAAUCUAGCAUUGCCGUGAGCUGUGGUAUAGGUAGCAGACAUGGCUCAGAUCUGGCAUUGCUGUGGUUGUGGCACAGACCAAUGGCUACAGCUCUAAUUCGACUCCUAGCUUGAGAACUUCCAUAUGCUGUGGGUGUAACCCUAAAAAGACAAAAGGAAAAAAAAAAAAAAGGAAAACGCAAAAGAAAAUUCCCACGAGAACAUCAUUCACAUUGGACCUCAGGUGAAGAAGGAGGCAGCAGAAGGAGGAGAUCUCAAAAGGGGAGGUCAUCCUUGCCCGAAAUCCAUGUCAGUAAACUCUAGUCUAACCAUAAUAACACUCAGGAGAGGAUCCUUGGUCAGAUCACUUUUUAAUUUCAAAAAAGACUGAUUUCCAUUCUAAAAAUAUUUCAUUUAAAUCAGGUGUUCUUUCUUCAACAUUCUUCCCCUGACUCCAUUAGCAGAGGAGAAUUUGAUCCAUGAUACAUCCAGUCUAACAUGGAUGAGAUGCCUCCUCCCCAAGCCCCACCUCCUCUUGGGAGAUAGUAAAGGGGGAGGGGGAGUCUUAAGAAUCACUAAAAGUCUCUUAGAACAUAGAGCUUGCCUUGUAAUCAUUUAUUACGUUCUCUUGGUCCUCAGAAGGGGGAAAUCGCUCCCUGUAUUUGCUGUUAGAAUGGUAGAAAACAAUAAUGUUUACCUAUAGAUUUGAUCACAACAGGGAUGUUUGGUGAAAGAAGAAGUAAAAGAUUUCACAGUUUCAUGGCAAACAUCCAGUCUUCGGCAUGCAGGGUGGAAAAAGUGCCUAGAGAAAUGUGGAGACCCUGUCCAGGGCUCUGACAUUUCUGUGUGCAGAAUGGCAAGACUUUUAAUAGAGAAGAGUGCAACAGUGGUCAACUGAAAGCCUCUUUCUUGUCCUUUGAUUCAUCCUGAAGGGCAGCAACUGGUGACAGUGUCUUGUGGGCUCUUUGCCAGUUCUUGGAUGGCUGUGGCUCUGGCCUGGGACUGGGUGUUUACCCUCACAGAGCUCCUGUAGCGCAGAAUGCAGCACAAAUGUGCCUCUCUUGCACAUUCUAUUAUGUGCACUCACAGUUGUGUUUCACCAGAAUGGAGAAAGUGAGAGCCUGAGACGGGACAACCUAGUUGAUAAUCUCAAUUAUAAAAUUACAUAUGAGAAUAUAAUACAUUCCUAAGUAGUGAUAAAUGGAAGAGUAAAUGAGGACUUUAUUCUCUGUUGGACAUGCAUAACCAUAAGGUACCAGAAAGACAAAGGUAAAAUUGGUAAAGGAUCAUUUAUGUGUUAAGAUCUGAAAAGCCCUCCCAGCGCUAAGAGAAAAAACAAUUUCUCUCACUGAUGGGUAAAGUUCCAUUACUAAAGAUCCCUUCCUUUGGUUUAAGCCUUAUUCGAGACAGGCUGAGAAUAUUCAUAGCAUUUGGCUAUUAUAGUGGAAAUGGUUUCAUUGCCUCCAGGAUUCUUUCAACUUACCCAUUCAGCUAGAAAACAAAAACACCCCGCAUACUUCUUUUGCAUUACUUUUGUUCCAUUGUCAAAGAUCAGUUGACUACAUUAUGGGGGGUGUUUUUCCAGACUUUCUAUUCCAGUUCUUUGAUCUAUUUGUCUAUUCUUUCAUCAGUCUUUGGUUUCAUUAAACCACAGUCCUCAUUACUGUAGCUUUAUUGUCAAGUAUUAAAGUCAAGUAUUAUCAAUACUCCAACUUUGUUCUUCAAGACUGUGUUUGCUAUUCUGGGGUUUUUUGCUUCUCCACUUCUUAUAAACUAUAAAAAUCAGUUUGUCGAAAUUCCUACAAUAACUAAAUCUAUAGAGCAAGUAAAUUAGCAAGAAUUGAUUUUUGACAGUAUUGAAUCUUCUUCUAAAUGAACGUGGACUAUCUCUCCAUUUAUUUAGCUAUUCUUUGAUUUCAUUCAUUAGUUUUAUAGUUCCCGUCACAUAGAUCUUAUACAUAUUUUGUUAGGUUUAUCCCUAAAUAUUUCAUUUUGGCUGUAUGAUGUUGAAAAGGAAUAGUGAAGUGGGCAUCUUUGUACUUGAUCUUAGUGGGAAAGCUUUGAGUUUCUCACCAUUAAGUAUAAUGCCACUGCAGGAUUUUAGUAGAUAGUCUUUAUGAAGUUGAGGAAAUUCUCCUGUAUUGCUAGUUUUCUGAGUUUUUAAUCAUAAAUGGAUGUCAGAGUUUGUCAGAUGCCUUUUUUGCAUCUAUUAUCAUCAUGUGAUUUUGCCCUUUUCAGUCUGUUAAUAGAUGGAUUAUAUUGAUUUUCAACACAUUUCCUUAAAGGUAGUAUCUGAAUGCAAAUUCUAUUCAAUUAUAUGCCAUAUAAUGAGACAUGGAAGGCAGAGAGAGAUAGUCCUAUCUUCCUGCUCUUCUGCUUUCUGCUGGCAAGCAGUUAAACCAGGGGCUCCUCACAUCAAAAAGAAUAAAAUACCUAGAAAUACACCUACCUAAAGAGAAAAAAGACCUGUACUCUGAAAACUAUAAGACAUUGAUGAAAGAAAUCAAAGAUGACAUAAAUAGGUGGAAAGAUACACCAUGCUCUUGGGUUAGAAGAAUCAAUAUAGUGAAAAUGACAAUGCAAUCUAAAGCAAUCUACAGAUUCAAUGUAAUCCCUAUCAAAUUACCAAUGACAUUCUUUACAGAACUAGACAAAAUAUUUUAAAAUUUAUAUGGAAACACAAAAGACCUUGAAUAGCCAAAGCAAUAGUGAAAAGAAAAUACGGAACUAGAGGAAUCAGGAUCUCUGACUUCAGACUCUACUACAAAACUACAAUCAUCAAAACAGUAUUGUACAGGCACAAAAACAGAAAUAUAGAUCAAUGGAACAGGAUAGAAAGGACCAGAAAUAAACCCAAGAGCCUAUGGUCAACUAAUCUAACAAAGGAGGCAAGAAUAUAUUGUAGAUGCCACAGGUGUGCUUGAAAAGCAAAAAAAAAAAAAAAAAUCCCUUCAAUAAGUUUUGCUGGGAAAACUGAAUAGCCACAUGUAAGAGAAGGAAAAAUAAACUCAAAAUGGAUUAAAGACUUAAAUGUAAGGCCCAAUACUAUAAAAAUCUUAGAGGAAAACACUGCAGAACACUCUUUGACAUAAAUCACAGCAACAUCUUGUUUGAUCUACAUCCUAGAAUAAUGACAAUAAAGAUAAAAAUAAACCAAUGGGACCUAAUUAAACAAAAAGGUUUCUGCAUAGCAAAGGAAACCAUUAAAAGAAAAAAACCCACAGAAUGGGAGAAAAUCUUUGCAAAUGAUUCAACCAACAAAGGUUUAAUCUCCAAAAUAUACAGACAACUCAUACAACCCAACAGCAAAAAAAACAACCCAGGAGUUCCCACUGUGGCACAGCAGAAACGAAUCCGACUAAUAUCCACAAGGAGGCAGGAAUUCAAUCCCUGUCCUUGUUCAGUGGGUCAGGGAUCUGGUGUUGCUGUGAGCUGUGGUAUAGGUCAAAGAUGUGGCUCAGAUCCCAUGUUGCUGUAGCUGUGGUAUAGGCCAGCAGCUGUAGCUCUGAUUUGACCCCUAUCCUGGUGUGGCCCUAAAAAAAAUACAUAUGUAUAUAUAUAUGUGUGUGUGUGUAUAUAUAUGCAUAUAUAUAUGUGUAUAUAUGUGUGUGUGUAUAUAUAUAUAUA